GAGGGUAUAUCUCUGUGGUAGAGUGCGUGCUUGGGAUGCACGAGGUCCUGGGUUCAAUCCCCAGUGCCUCUG
This 72-nucleotide transfer RNA is filed under the name Camelus bactrianus (Bactrian camel). It matches the Rfam family "tRNA". From Rfam's summary of the family: Transfer RNA (tRNA) molecules are approximately 80 nucleotides in length. The record is from Rfam by way of RNAcentral. RNAcentral also lists the same sequence under 2 other names. Lineage: Eukaryota; Metazoa; Chordata; Mammalia; Artiodactyla; Camelidae.